This is a long non-coding RNA of Arvicola amphibius (Eurasian water vole), 2227 nucleotides long. RefSeq lists it as uncharacterized. The transcript has 3 exons. NCBI's taxonomy places the organism in Eukaryota, Metazoa, Chordata, Mammalia, Rodentia, Cricetidae. The record is from RefSeq and is a predicted model, not a curated record.
CUCCUUCUCAGAAGCUGACAAACGUGUGAAGCCUUCUAUGCACAAGAUCACACACACGUGUUUUCCUGUGUGGUAGGGAGUUUGGAGUGUCCUCAGACACUAGAAGUUGUCACUAAGUCACAUGCCCUGCUGUCCCCCGCUUCACCAGGCUGUCCUGGCAUUAUGGAGAGGCAAGGGAGGGUGGAAGAUGUCCCUGAACAUGUCCCCCAAGACAGAGCCAAGAAGAAGAACACCCUUUAGCCAGUUUCAGGAGACACCCCCCUUAGUCCAUGCUGGGGACUCCUUUUCUAUCCUCAACUUAACAGGCUCUCAUGUGGAGGCCCUAGGUUCUAGUCCACGCUCAGGAAACAGCCAGAGAAGAGAAUUCGGUACCUCUGGAGGCCAUGAGGGCUGCAGUGUUCCUGAGACCAGGUGUGGGUUAUCUCACUGGUCUUCCUCACAGCUAUCUAUGGGUCCAGGCUGGAAGGAAGAGAAAAGCAAACCGUUGGGACGGAGUAGGGACAACUGUAAUGGAGGCUGGGGUCUCACGACUCUGUCUGAGAGAGCAGAAAACUAAGAUCAAAGAGGGACAGGACGUUGUCCCUGCGCUGCUGCUAAGGACCCAGUCCUGGGCCUCCCUCACUCUUCCAUCACCCUAGCCAGAGCACAGACCCCCGUCCUCCUAGAUCCAUGGAAAAACAGGCAUCUGGAAACAUGUCUGUGUAAAGAGCUGCUCGGGAGAAGUGUGCUGGAAUCUGGGUUGGGAGCUGUGCAUAGCAAGGACGGCAGAUAACAUCAACUGAAGAAAUUUGUCUAUGGAUCUGGGCUACGCUGCUAGAGCUCAUGGCACUGUGAGAAGAGAAAGAAGCCCUGAGUCUGCGCACUAGCUCUGUCCUGCUGUGUAAAGACAACUUCUCCCGGGGCAUCAAGAAGGUCCUGCCAGAAACAAGAGCCAUGCCUGGUGGAGCAAGAUUCCUAGGAUCACCAGCCCACGACAUGGAGACUUAGUACUAGCUAUAAAUGUCAGCUCUUCAUUUAGGGUUUCCACGGAUACUCCGGACACAACUGGCCCUCACUUCCUGCAGAACACAUCUAGACUCUCCUUCAAGCUUUCCCUGCCAAGCCCUGGUCCUGACAGGUUCUCUCUGCCAGCCUGGUCCAGCUGUGGAUCUCCAUGCUGCCCUGGCCAUUCCCAGGAUAGUCCAUGUGCAGCUGCUGGUCUUGAUGUACCUCAGUCGGAGAGCGGCGGUGAGAGCCACAGAUGCCUGACCAUCCUGUGUGGAAGCCAUACCCCAGGUUGCCCUUCCUUCUGGACUUCGUGUUUUCCAGACAUUAGUUUCCAGACUUGGGAACAAUAACACAGUGACCAACAAGUGACCCAGUUGUGACUAGCCAGACAUAAGGAAGGCUAUAGCACAGGCUCUUGCUACAGGCACUAAUGUGACAGGAUCGCUGCUGUCCCUACCUCAUGUGCCCUGUUUCAUAGGCGACAGGACCCCAGCGGCUGUCAGGAAGGAAGACUGGCAUUUGGGGUGAUCUUAUACUUGGGUGAAAUGUCUGUACUCUGACUUUCCUGUCUCUUGUCACUCUGUGCUGGUGGCCUAGCCCAGUGGUAAAGCCCUUGUUCAAUGCAUAGGUCCAGGACUGACACCUAGCACCACAAAAGAAAUCAAGGAAAGAGAAAGGAAAGGCCAGCUGUCCUUCAUGCUUCCCUUGAGCCCUCCCACACAAUCAGCUACACAAAGAACCCCUUAGCAUUGGCAUCCUGUGGAUGUGAGUCAGGAGGGAGUGUGAAGCCCAGGCUGGGAGCCAGCUGAAGCCUAGGCUGGGAGCCUCCCUUCCCUAGCUGUGCACAAGCUCUUCAGAGGAACAAAGAGAGGCUCUCAGCAAGUCUUGAUUCCUGGUGUCUGUGGGAAAUCUUCCUAGGGAAAGGAGACAGAGGCUCAGGACAGCAUAAACCUAAGAAUUUUUAUCAGCUGUCAGGGUCACAUUCAAGCCCAUGUACACUGGACAGGGGGUCUCCUGCCUACCUCAGUCCCUCCCUUCACUCUAUUCUCUCCAUUAGACCCCCACCUCCAAGCAGUCUCCAGAACCCCAGGCCUGUGCUGAGUCUCUCCUUCACCGGAAAUGUCACCCAGUCUCACGUGGUGCCAGGAUCAACCAGCACCGCCUCAUUCCAUGUGCCCAGACUGCUGUUCUCUGGACUCUGGAGACAUUCACUGGACACAGAGCCACUAGCGUCCGAGGA